This 301-nucleotide ribosomal RNA is filed under the name uncultured bacterium. RNAcentral describes it as "partial 16S ribosomal RNA". It matches the Rfam family "Bacterial small subunit ribosomal RNA", at positions 509 to 807 of the family's 1533-position model. The record is from RNAcentral.
CAGUCGCCACGGUAAUACGUAGGGUGCGAGCGUUAAUCGGAAUUACUGGGCGUAAAGCGUGCGCAGGCGGUUUUGUAAGACAGGCGUGAAAUCCCCGGGCUCAACCUGGGAAUGGCGCUUGUGACUGCAAAGCUAGAGUGCGGCAGAGGGGGAUGGAAUUCCGCGUGUAGCAGUGAAAUGCGUAGAUAUGCGGAGGAACACCGAUGGCGGAGGCAAUCCCCUGGGCCUGCACUGACGCUCAUGCACGAAAGCGUGGGGAGCAAACAGGAUUAGAUACCCCGGUAGUCCCUGUCUCUUAUAC